CUUCUAGAGGAGGAAACCGGGCCCCGUUAAGGCUAAAUGGCGGGUCUCAAACUUUUAGGGAUGGAAAGGGGAUUAACAUUUGCAGGGUGCUUUGCCAGCCACCACAGCCCCAGUGCCAUUUUAGACGCUUUAAACAAGUCCUGAGAGGGCAAGCAACCUGCUGAGGGGGACUCGUGCGGCUGUGGGAAAAGGGACCUGCGGUGGUUCAGGAAAGCAGCCUGAAGUGACCGAGCCUGGACGCGCCAGACACAGUGUGGGAAGAGUGCCAUCCAAUCCUCCGCGGAACCCUGGCGGGGCGGGCUAGGAAGCGCUUCCAAGCGCAGGGGAGUGUAGCUGAGCACAGCGCCGGGAGCUGGUGAGGUCACCAGGCUGGGAUGAGGUCCAUCUAAGGUUUAAGAGCGCGGUCGUCUGAGGCUAAAGUCCAGCUCUUUAUCUCUGCCGCCGGGGAUCCUGGGGCGCAGUUUAAAGGAGAGGGUGGCUAGGGUCACGUGACCGAUCACUCCAAGAGAAGUCAACCCCAGGCGGGCGGUUACGACGCUCCUGCUCCUUAGUGGUCUUCAUUUCUGUAGUGAGGGGCCGGAGGUGACGGUGCAGCAGGCAGGAGCCAGGGUAAACUUCACCCAGGUGGCCGCAGUGCGAAGGCAGCGAGGCCCUACAGCAAAUGGCCAAGGCCGCCUCAGACGCAAAGCUGCUCCCCCUUCCUCUUUGCCGCAGGUCAAACCUGCCCCAUUCUCCCAGUUCCUCCCCAGCCCGGGCCUCCGGGAGCCCUCUGCUGGAAGAGAUGUGCUUUCUUUUUUUAGUAUCUUGAGUUUUUUAGACCAGGUCUCGCUCUUCUGCCGCCCAGUUUGGAGUGCAGCGGGGCGAACACGGCUCACUGCAGCCUCCAACUCCUGGGCUCCAGCAAUCCUCCCGCCUGGGACUACAGGCGCGAGCCAUGGUGCCUUGGGCCGGUGUGCGCUUUCUUACUUUGCCCUUUACAUCGCAUACUGGGUUGUUCACCCGCGACUUCCGUUUCCGAGGAGCGCACGGCGGCGGGGCUUCUCUCUGCAAAGACCACCGACCCGAGGAGAGCGCUUGAUCAAGGACAUCACGGCUCCCUCGAUGUCCACUAGGAGGAGACAAAGAAACGCGGACCAGAAGAGUCAAAAUGCGCUUUAUUCUUUAUUGCGGGUGGCUCAUCAAUGACGCCGUGGCCUUCCCAACGCCCAUCACCUUCUGCUCUCCUCUUCCCACCACGCCAGCAUUUUUAAAAUUUUAUUUAUUUAUUUAUUUAUUUAUUUUUAUUUAUUUUUAUUUUUAUUUUUAUUUAUUUAUUUUUUUUUUUACAUCUUAAAUUUUUAAUCCUUUCUUUACAGGUUACUUAUACCACUUUUGAUUAAGAAAACUGUAGAAAGUUAGUAACUGCCACAAGCGAAUGCCAGGCGGUGGCACGUGUCAAUUUCCACAGAGUCCUGCUUUGCGGGGUGUCUGAAUGCACUGCACGGGGCCUCUGCUCACACUUGCUGGAACCAAUCGUGGCAGAUUUUAGUCCACAGGUCGCUUUUCCCCAUAUUUCUUUGUAAACUCUUCAGCAUUCUUACAGAAUUUUUUACGGUCCUUAGAGUAUUCUUCAGCUAGGUCAGCCCGAAGCGGGUGCUCGGGCUGGGGGGUCAUUCACCAGUACUAUGAGGGACUGGAUUACUUGGUCGGUUUUGGUUGCUGGCUUCCAGUUUUCAGCGCUAAUUACUGGCAGACAGACCUGCCCCUUUUCGUCGAUGUUCGGGUGAUAGAUCUUUGUUUGUUUGUUUGUUUUUUUUUUUGAGAUGGAGUCUCGCUCUGUCGCCCAGGCUGGAGUGCAGUGGCCGGAUCUCAGCUCACUGCAAGCUCCGCCUCCCGGGUUCCCGCCAUUCUCCUGCCUCAGCCUCCCAAGUAGCUGGGACUACAGGCGCCCACCACCUCGCCCGGCUAGUUUUUUUUGUAGUUUUAGUAGAGACGGGGUUUCACUGUGUUCGCCAGGAUGGUCUGGAUCUCCUGACCUCGUGAUCCACCCGUCUCGGCCUCCCAAAGUGCUGGGAUUACAGGCUUGAGCCACCGCGCCCGGCCAGAUCUUUGUUUUAAAUGUGAUCUUCGGUGGUUUGAAUGGGUACUCUGCUGGAAAGUUGAUUUCGAUUCUGAAGGCCCCCUUAUCAUAUGGAGGGUUGCCAGGAACAAUAAGCCCUUGCCAAGUCAAUAAAUUAGCUUCAUCAACCUGGAUGUUAUGGAAGUUUUUCAUCCCACAUUUGCGGAUUUCUUCAAGCUCCUUCAUCAGCCUCCUGCUGGCCGCCAUCUUGGAUUUGGUCAAAAAAUUUUUUUUUUUUGAGAGGAAAUCUCACUCUGUCGCCCAGGCUGGAGUGCAGUGGUGCCAUCUGGGCUCACUGCAACCUCUACCUCCCAGGUUCAAGCGAUUCUCCUGUCUCAGCCUCUCGAGUAGCCAGGAACACAGGCGUCCACCACCACGCCCAGCUAUUUUUGUAUUUUUUAAGUAGAUACAGGGUUUCACCAUGUUGGCCAGGCUGGUCUCGAACUCCCAACGUCAGGUUAUCCACCCUCCCAGGCCUCCCAAAGUUCUGGGAUUAUAGGCGUGAGCAACCGCGCCCGGCCCACGCCAGCUUUUAACAUGCAGGUCUGUUUCGCAGGACUUGGGGCCGCGAGCCUUCAAGGGGCACUCUCCCGCAAUGCCCACACUCCAGGCGCGGGGAAGGGCCGCGGGACCUUGGCAGCUGCGUGGUCAAAGGCGACUCGUGGCG
RNAcentral lists this long non-coding RNA (2765 nucleotides) under Macaca fascicularis (crab-eating macaque). RNAcentral describes it as "lncRNA (ENSMFAG00000061077.1)". Lineage: Eukaryota; Metazoa; Chordata; Mammalia; Primates; Cercopithecidae. The record is from RNAcentral.